This 69-nucleotide transfer RNA is filed under the name Varanus salvator (water monitor). RNAcentral describes it as "tRNA-Met". RNAcentral also lists the same sequence under 1 other name. Lineage: Eukaryota; Metazoa; Chordata; Lepidosauria; Squamata; Varanidae. The record is from RNAcentral.
AGUGGAGUCAGCUAAUCAAGCUCUUGGGCCCAUACCCCGAAAAUGUCGGUUACAAACCUUCCUUCACUA